Molecule: ribosomal RNA, 566 nt
Filed under: uncultured bacterium
Lineage: Bacteria
Description: partial 16S ribosomal RNA
Rfam family: Bacterial small subunit ribosomal RNA
Source: RNAcentral
UGGGGAAUUUUGGACAAUGGGCGAAGGCCUGAUCCAGCAAUGCCGCGUGUGUGAAGAAGGCCUUCGGGUUGUAAAGCACUUUUGUCCGGAAAGAAAUCCUUGGCUCUAAUACAGUCGGGGGAUGACGGUACCGGAAGAAUAAGCACCGGCUAACUACGUGCCAGCAGCCGCGGUAAUACGUAGGGUGCAAGCGUUAAUCGGAAUUACUGGGCGUAAAGCGUGCGCAGGCGGUUUGCUAAGACCGAUGUGAAAUCCCCGGGCUCAACCUGGGAACUGCACUGGUGACUGGCAGGCUAGAGUAUGGCAGAGGGGGGUAGAAUUCCACGUGUAGCAGUGAAAUGCGUAGAGAUGUGGAGGAAUACCGAUGGCGAAGGCAGCCCCCUGGGCCAAUACUGACGCUCAUGCACGAAAGCGUGGGGAGCAAACAGGAUUAGAUACCCUGGUAGUCCACGCCCUAAACGAUGUCAACUAGUUGUUGGGGAUUCAUUUCCUUAGUAACGUAGCUAACGCGUGAAGUUGACCGCCUGGGGAGUACGGUCGCAAGAUUAAAACUUAAAUGAAUUGAC